Molecule: ribosomal RNA, 164 nt
Filed under: Streptococcus lactarius
Lineage: Bacteria; Bacillati; Bacillota; Bacilli; Lactobacillales; Streptococcaceae
Description: partial 16S ribosomal RNA
Rfam family: Bacterial small subunit ribosomal RNA
Source: RNAcentral
UAUUUUAAUGAGAGUUUGAUCCUGGCUCAGGAUGAACGCUGGCGGCGUGCCUAAUACAUGCAAGUAGAACGCUGAAGGAAGGAGCUUGCUCUUUCCGGAUGAGUUGCGAACGGGUGAGUAACGCGUAGGUAACCUGCCUCUUAGCGGGGGAUAACUAUUGGAAA